CAUUGAAUUGACAACUCAUGAACAGUUUAUAUUUAUAUCUAGAUAACAAUAAAAUAAACUUUUCAUUAUAAUAUUAAUUAUCUGAAAAAGAUAUAGGUAGUGAAAAGUGACUACAGGUAAUUAACAUAAGUUUUGCCCUUUUCUUAAUGGUACAAACAAUGACAACUGCAGUUACAACUACCCAGAAAAAGGUUGGUGCUAGUAAUGCUCCACCAGGAGGCAUGCGGAAGAAAUCGGGGCCCAAGUUUGAGCUCACUGAAGAACAAAGAAGGGACAUAAAAGAAGCAUUUGAUUUAUUUGACACAGAAAAUACUGGAAAAAUUGAUACAAAAGAGUUAAAAGUUGCAAUUAGAGCCCUCGGAUUUGAACCUAGAAAAGAGGAAAUCAAAAAGAUGAUUGCAGAAAUUGAUAAAUCUGAUGGAAAAGUAUCAUUUGAAGAUUUUCUGGAGUUGAUGACAGUGAAGAUGGCAGAGAAGGAUACAAAGGAGGAAAUCAUGAAAGCUUUCAAACUGUUUGAUGAUGAUGAAACUGGUAAAAUCUCUUUCAAGAACUUAAAGAGAGUGGCAAGGGAACUUGGUGAAAACCUCACUGAUGAAGAGCUGCAUGAAAUGAUAGAUGAAGCAGACAGGGAUGGUGACGGGGAAAUCAACCAAGACGAGUUCCUACGCAUCAUGAAAAAAACUAGUCUUUAUUAGAUCACCAAAGUAAAAUUCGGCCUAUUUUCAUACUUACUGUACUCUUGAAAGCACAAAUUAUAUCCUUCAAAGGGAUAAUGAAAUAGUAGCAGCUAUGAAGAAGACUCUUGCAACAACUUAUUGGAAUAGUUACCUAUAUUUUUAUAUAAGUGUUGGAAAGGAAUAAUACAUAAUGUAAGAACAGGACAAAUGAAUAUUUGUUAAUAUGAAUAGUCUAAUCUGUAGAACUAUUUAAGAUUGACACAUAUAUCUAAGGACCGGCCUUACGGGCAUUAGGAACGGCGCUAGUUCAGUGUUGUCACUCUCGAAUUCGAGCAAAUCGUGUAGUCUAACGGAACUAUUUGCAAACAAUCGUGCGCGUAGUGUGAACUCAUCAACCAAUCGCGUUCUGGCGUUAGACUGCACGAUUGGCCGAAUUCGUGUGCGUGACACUGACACCACUGUACUGGCCCCAUUCUUAUUGUCCGUAAGGCCCGUCCUUAGAUAUAUAUGUCAAUGCUAUUUAACUCUGUCAACUUUUGAGGCAUUUACAGGCUUGGUUCUAUAAAAAUCUCUGAAACCUUUACUCAGAACGGAUGUUUAUUAGUAUAUGAAGUAUAUCUUUAUUAAAAUCCAAUGAGCGUUUAUAAAGCUGGCCUUAGUUGUUUUAAUAACCAAAGACUAUCUGCAUAAGAAUAAAUAAGUUGUGUAAUAUCAAACUAUCGAAUUUUUAUAAUAAUGAUAAAUAAGUAUUCACCUGCUUAUAUUAGGAACAAAAAGUAACUUUUACAAAUUUGGCAUACUUAAAUUAACUUAAAAAUGCAUGUUUAAAAAAAUACAUCUAAAACAUAUAUCAGUAGGUAUUUAAAACAUUCCAUGUUAGUCAUUUGAUUGUUAAAUAUAAGAUAUUUUAAGCUAUCUAUAAUAUUUGUAACUACUAAUCAUACCAGAUCUGAAAGAAUAAACUUAUAUUGUUUAAGUAUUUCUUAAAUGCAUUGCGUUCUAUACCUAUAAGUAGGUGAAAAUGUAGAAUAAAAUAUAUGGCACCUAAGGUUGA
Molecule: RNA transcript, 1731 nt
Organism: Cydia pomonella (codling moth)
Lineage: Eukaryota; Metazoa; Arthropoda; Insecta; Lepidoptera; Tortricidae
Exons: 4
Source: RefSeq, a predicted model, not a curated record